AAACCGGGAUUAAUACCGCAUAAAAUCGUAGAAACACAUGUUUUAACGGCCAAAGAUUUAUCGGUCAUAGAUGGGCUCGCGUCUGAUUAGCUAGUUGGUGAGAUAACAGCCCACCAAGGCGACGAUCAGUAGCCGGUCUGAGAGGAUGAACGGCCACAUUGGAACUGAGACACGGUCCAA
Molecule: ribosomal RNA, 180 nt
Filed under: uncultured Eubacteriales bacterium
Lineage: Bacteria; Bacillati; Bacillota; Clostridia; Eubacteriales
Description: uncultured Clostridiales bacterium partial 16S ribosomal RNA
Rfam family: Bacterial small subunit ribosomal RNA
Source: RNAcentral